UGGCGAACGGGGUGAGUAACACGUGGGCAACCUGCCCAAAAGAGGGGGAUAACACUUGGAAACAGGUGCUAAUACCGCAUAACCAUAGUUACCGCAUGGUAACUAUGUAAAAGGUGGCUAUACUACCGCUUUUGGAUGGGCCCGCGGCGCAUCAGCUAGUUGGUAGGGUAAAGGCUUACCAAGGCAAUGAUGCGUAGCCGAAUUGAGAGGUUGAUCGGCCACAUUGGGACUGAGACACGGCCCAAACUCCUACGGGAGGCAGCAG
Molecule: ribosomal RNA, 265 nt
Filed under: uncultured bacterium
Lineage: Bacteria
Description: partial 16S ribosomal RNA
Rfam family: Bacterial small subunit ribosomal RNA
Source: RNAcentral